This 425-nucleotide ribosomal RNA is filed under the name uncultured prokaryote. RNAcentral describes it as "bacterial SSU rRNA". It matches the Rfam family "Bacterial small subunit ribosomal RNA", at positions 355 to 796 of the family's 1533-position model. The record is from RNAcentral.
CAACGAAUAUUCCGCAAUGGACGAAAGUCUGACGGAGCGACGCCGCGUGUAGGACGAAGCACCUCGGUGUGUAAACUACUGUCAGGGAUUAGGAAGCAAGUGACCAAUCCCAAAGGAAGCCCCGGCUAACUCCGUGCCAGCAGCCGCGGUAAUACGGAGGGGGCAAGCGUUGUUCGGAAUUACUGGGCUUAAAGCGUGUGUAGGCGGAAUGGAAGGUACUGUGUGAAAGCCCUCGGCUCAACCGGGGAAUUGCACGGUAAACCGUCAUUCUUGAGGCCAGCAGGGGUACCUGGAACUUUGGGUGGAGCGGUGAAAUGCGUAGAUAUCCAAGGGAACGCCGGUGGCGAAAGCGGGGUACUGGGCUGGUUCUGACGCUGAGACACGAAAGCGUGGGGAGCAAACAGGAUUAGAUACCCCCGUAGUCC